Molecule: transfer RNA, 73 nt
Filed under: Pangasianodon hypophthalmus (striped catfish)
Lineage: Eukaryota; Metazoa; Chordata; Actinopteri; Siluriformes; Pangasiidae
Description: tRNA-Glu
Source: RNAcentral
UCCCUGGAGGACCAGUGGAUUAGGCCACAGCGCACUCGCUGCUGUGGCCCAGGUUCAAUUCCCGGCUAGGGAG